Molecule: non-coding RNA, 354 nt
Organism: Pelobates cultripes (western spadefoot toad)
Lineage: Eukaryota; Metazoa; Chordata; Amphibia; Anura; Pelobatidae
Source: the annotation of a GenBank genome assembly
GGAGCUGUGUGUGUGUUUGUGUAGUGUGUAUAGUGAAUGCAGAGUGUGUUUGUGUAGUGUGUAUAGUGAAUGCAGAGUGUGUGUUUGUGUAGUGUGUAUAGUGAAUGCAGAGUGUGUAUAUAAUGCAUUGUGUGUGUUUGUGUAAUGUGUAUAUAAUGCAGUUUGUGUAGUGUGUGUAUGUAAUGUAGUGUGUGUGUAUGUAAUGCAGUGUGUGUGUGUUUGUGUAGUGUGUGUAUGUAAUACAGUGUGUGUGUGUUUGUGUAGUGUGUGUAUGUAAUGCAGUGUGUGUGUUUGUGUAGUGUGUGUAUGUAAUGCAGUGUGUGUGUUUGUGUAGUGUGUGUGUAUGUAAUGCAG